Molecule: RNase P RNA, 406 nt
Filed under: Duncaniella sp.
Lineage: Bacteria; Pseudomonadati; Bacteroidota; Bacteroidia; Bacteroidales; Muribaculaceae
Description: RNase P RNA component class A
Rfam family: Bacterial RNase P class A
About the family: Ribonuclease P (RNase P) is a ubiquitous endoribonuclease, found in archaea, bacteria and eukarya as well as chloroplasts and mitochondria. Its best characterised activity is the generation of mature 5'-ends of tRNAs by cleaving the 5'-leader elements of precursor-tRNAs.
Source: RNAcentral
GCAGCAGGACGGUCCAGUCGCUGGCCGACGUAUAGAGCGGCGAGAGGAAAGUCCGGGCAACACAGAGCACCAUACUUUCUAACGGAAAGCUGUCGGUGACGGCAGAGUAGCGUGACAGAAAACGACCGCCCGAGGGGCAUUGACCGCCUCGGGUAAGGGUGAAAAGGCGAGGUAAGAGCUCACCGGGUUCCGCAGCAAUGCGGGAUGCCGCACGUCUUAUGGGUUGCAAGGCCAAGUAUACCGGCAUCUAAGGGCUGCUCGUCCAUUGCCGGGGGGUAGGCUGCUGGAGCACGUUGGUGACAACGCUGCGUAGAUAAAUGACUGACCGUCGCGUCAACCCCUUCCUGUUUUGAGUCAAGGGAAGUGACGGCGAUGACAUAACCCGGCUUAUAGUCCUGCUGCUUUA